UGGGGAAUUUUGGACAAUGGGGGAAACCCUGAUCCAGCCAUCCCGCGUGUGCGAUGAAGGCCUUCGGGUUGUAAAGCACUUUUGGCAGGAAAGAAACGUCAUGGGUUAAUACCCCGUGAAACUGACGGUACCUGCAGAAUAAGCACCGGCUAACUACGUGCCAGCAGCCGCGGUAAUACGUAGGGUGCAAGCGUUAAUCGGAAUUACUGGGCGUAAAGCGUGCGCAGGCGGUUCGGAAAGAAAGAUGUGAAAUCCCAGAGCGCAACUUUGGAACUGCAUUUUUAACUACCGGUCUAGAGUGUGUAAGAGGGAGGUGGAAUUCCGCGUGUAGCAGUGAAAUGCGUAGGUAUGCGGAGGAACACCGAUGGCGAAGGCAGCCUCCUGGGAUAACACUGACGCUCAUGCACGAAAGCGUGGGGAGCAAACAGG
This 429-nucleotide ribosomal RNA is filed under the name Acidobacteriota bacterium. RNAcentral's name for it is "Acidobacteria bacterium partial 16S ribosomal RNA". It matches the Rfam family "Bacterial small subunit ribosomal RNA", at positions 355 to 776 of the family's 1533-position model. The record is from RNAcentral. Lineage: Bacteria; Pseudomonadati; Acidobacteriota.